This 302-nucleotide small nuclear RNA is filed under the name Chinchilla lanigera (long-tailed chinchilla). RNAcentral describes it as "7SK RNA (ENSCLAG00000021638.1)". It matches the Rfam family "7SK RNA". From Rfam's summary of the family: 7SK was discovered as an abundant small nuclear RNA in the mid-70s but a possible function has only recently been suggested. Lineage: Eukaryota; Metazoa; Chordata; Mammalia; Rodentia; Chinchillidae. The record is from Rfam by way of RNAcentral.
GGAUGUGAGUGCAAUCCGGCUGCAACAUCUGUCACCCCACUGAUUACCAGGGUUGAUUCGGCUGAUCUGGCUGGCUAGGUGGGUUUCCCCUUCCUCCCUCAACACUCCAAGUGUGUCCCUCCUGAAGGUGUGCACUUAGUCAAAGAGGAGGACCACCCCCAUGGAGUAGGACUGUUCCUCUGUCAGGGUAUAGGAGUAGCUGUGCUCUCCUGCUAGAACCUCCAAACAAGCUCUCAAGAAAAAGCACGUUGUUCCAAACACAUAGAUUUUUCAAACAUUUAUCCUAAAACAUCUUUUUUGAU